UGAGUUUGAUUCUGGCUCAGAACGAACGCUGGCGGCAGGCCUAACACAUGCAAGUUGAACGUGAAGCAUCUUCGGAUGUGGAAAGUAGCGCACGGGUGAGUAACACGUGGGAAUUUACACUUCAGUAAGGAACAACAGUUGGAAACGACUGCUAAUACCUUAUAAUGACUCCGGUCCAAAGAUUUAUCGCUGAAGGAUAAGCCCGCGUCUGAUUAGCUAGUUGGUGAGGUAAAGGCUCACCAAGGCGACGAUCAGUAGCUGGUUUGAGAGGAUGAUCAGCCACACUGGAACUGAGACACGGUCCAGACUCCUACGGGAGGCAGCAGUGAGGAAUAUUGGACAAUGGGCGAAAGCCUGAUCCAGCCAUGCCGCGUGAGUGAAGAAGGCCCUAGGGUUGUAAAGCUCUUUCAAUCGUGAAGAUAAUGACGGUAGCGAUAGAAGAAGCUCCGGCUAACUCCGUGCCAGCAGCCGCGGUAAUACGGGGGGAGCGAGCGUUGUUCGGAAUCACUGGGCGUAAAGCGUGCGCAGGCGGUUAGAUAAGUCAGACGUGAAAUCCCAGGGCUCAACCCUGGAACUGCGUUUGAAACUGUCUUACU
This 596-nucleotide ribosomal RNA is filed under the name uncultured Alphaproteobacteria bacterium. Its description in RNAcentral is "bacterial SSU rRNA". It matches the Rfam family "Bacterial small subunit ribosomal RNA", at positions 1 to 642 of the family's 1533-position model. Lineage: Bacteria; Pseudomonadati; Pseudomonadota; Alphaproteobacteria. The record is from RNAcentral.